Long non-coding RNA from Neltuma alba, 108 nucleotides. RefSeq lists it as uncharacterized. NCBI's taxonomy places the organism in Eukaryota, Viridiplantae, Streptophyta, Magnoliopsida, Fabales, Fabaceae. The transcript has 3 exons. The record is from RefSeq and is a predicted model, not a curated record.
UAACAAAGGUGAAAGUGGAUGGAAAUCGGAAAGGUUGAUCUUGAGCUAUAGCAAUUAAAUCCUACCACAAAAAGCCCCAGUUUACAAACUGCCAGACACCUGAUCAGA